Ailuropoda melanoleuca (giant panda) is the source of this 1609-nucleotide long non-coding RNA. RefSeq lists it as uncharacterized. The transcript is spliced from 3 exons. The record is from RefSeq and is a predicted model, not a curated record. NCBI's taxonomy places the organism in Eukaryota, Metazoa, Chordata, Mammalia, Carnivora, Ursidae.
GCUGCAGGAGCAGACAUAAGAAUAAACAAGAACAUUCACUGAACCAAGUCUUGGGGUUGAAGGAUGCCCCCAGUGCUGCUGGAGCCCUUGGGAAAAAAUGACCACGGCUAACAGAGCUAAAAAAGAUCUCCUACCAGAAGAGGCAGCACUCAUUGAGCUGAAUCUUGACAAGCUGUGUAGACAUUGGAUUUGCUGAGAAGAUGAAGAAACAAGACAGGGCAGAGGGAGCCCCAGUUUGGAAAGGUGCUCUGGGGGACAGUUCAAAGGUGGUGUGGCUGAAGAAAGGGUCGCGUGGAAUGUAUGGAUGGAAUCAGAUCGUGGGAAGUCUUUCAGACCAGAUUCACGUACUUUACAACUGGCCCAAUAUUUUAUCCAUGGUGGGAAAAAAAAUGAAGUUCCUUAUAUCGGAUUUGUGAGGACAUCACAGUCACUAAAGAUAGUCCUGCUGUCUCCGUCCGCUUCUUCCUGACGUUUCCGCUUAACUGGGAAAUCACAUUUCUGCAUGGCUCAUUUUAUAUCUCUGCCCUCCGUGGAAACAAAACGCAGUCUGAACGGCGGAUUCUGCGGACUUCCUAGUACACUGAUAAGAAAACGGAAAGGAACUGACAUGCAAAGGGACCUAAAAGCCCAUUCUGUGAAAACCCAGGCUCUGGCUGGGGAGAGCAUGAAUGAAGAGUGUGAAAUUGCGAGCCCAGGAGGACAGGAUGGUCGAUUUCAGCUCCAAGGACUACCAGAGACGCUUGGAAUGUAGAAAAUAGGGUCCCCGCCCCAGAGAAGCGGUGGGAAGCUCUGUACAAAUGCAUUCCCUUGCAUGCAAACAAAACACGCCUAUUGACCCUGAUUCAGUUGAGAAAGAAGGAUGGAUGUGGUUUAAGAGAGAAGGUCAAUUUCAGGAUGGGCUCAAAUAUCACAUCUAAACUAAUUUCUUCUGCUCAGCAAACCUGCCCAACAGGCAUCAGGCCCUCAGGCGAUUCAAAGAAAAGAGCAGAAUGCGGGCUUCAGAUUCUCAAACUCAAAUGGACUUCUUCGUCCUGCUAGGACCAGCUGUUUGCACUUGGCAGUUAAUUUACAAGUGUUGCUUUCCUCCUGGUUGUAAAAUGGUUGAUUGGAGAUAGAAAAAGUCUCAGGUAUAGAAUUUUCUCACCCGGUAUUUGGCAGAGUACUGUUGCUAGUCCUAAGGUGAACAAUGGCAUUUGUCUUAUUAAUGGAGGCCUAGUAAGACUUGGGGGAUUGAGCUGGGGUGGGGGGACAGAGCCUAUGGUGGGCGGAUCCCCAAGCAGCUCCAACAUCUGUAGGAGAGAAAGUGCAGCCCCUGGGGAGGAAUCACGGAUGUCACCGUCUUGCAAAGGGAGAGAAGCCAGGAGGCUGAAGUGGGAGCUUGGCAUGUAAAUCAGGAAGGAUAGCUGCAGUGGUACAGAACUGAAAACUCCUUACCAAAGUUGCCCAAGAGAAAACAGGGCUUGUUUUCUCUGCAGAAGGACAAAGAGGAAAUACCUAAUGACACUGUUUUCAAAUAGAAUUUGAAAGUCAUAUAUAAGGAAGCAUGGUGUCCUUCAACUGUAUAUUUCAGUGGAUCUGAGUUUUAGGAUUUGUGAAUCAUUCGCAUGAG